Molecule: transfer RNA, 68 nt
Filed under: human gut metagenome
Rfam family: tRNA
About the family: Transfer RNA (tRNA) molecules are approximately 80 nucleotides in length. Their secondary structure includes four short double-helical elements and three loops (D, anti-codon, and T loops).
Source: RNAcentral
UGAAAUAGCUCAGUCGGUAGAGCACUUCACUCGUAAUGAAGGGGUCGUGGGUUCGAAUCCCAUUUUCA